This 185-nucleotide unclassified non-coding RNA is filed under the name uncultured fungus. RNAcentral describes it as "sequence contains ITS1". The record is from RNAcentral. Lineage: Eukaryota; Fungi.
UUGAUUUAUUUGCUUGUUUACUCAGAAGAUACUCAUAGAAACAGAGGUUUGGGGUUCUCCGGCGGACGCCUGGGUCCGGGCCCGAGGGCGCCGGGGCGAGACCGCCGAAGCAACGUAGGUAUGUUCACAGGGGUUGGGGAGUUGUAAACUCGGUAAUGAUCCCUCCGCUGGUUCACCAACGGAGA